UACGUAGGUGUCGAGCGUUAUCCGGAAUUACUGGGCGUAAAGGGCACGCAGGCGGCCCUUCAAGUCUGACGUGAAAGCUCCCGGCUUAACUGGGAGAGGUCGUUGGAAACUGAAGGGCUUGAGGCAGUGAGAGGGAGGCGGAAUUCCCGGUGUAGUGGUGGAAUGCGUAGAUAUCGGGAAGAACACCAAUGGCGAAGGCAGCCUCCUGGCACUGACCUGACGCUCAUGUGCGAAAGCGUGGGUAGCGAACGGG
This 253-nucleotide unclassified non-coding RNA is filed under the name uncultured Caldilineaceae bacterium. RNAcentral describes it as "contains 16S-23S intergenic spacer region". It matches the Rfam family "Bacterial small subunit ribosomal RNA", at positions 524 to 776 of the family's 1533-position model. The record is from RNAcentral. Lineage: Bacteria; Bacillati; Chloroflexota; Caldilineae; Caldilineales; Caldilineaceae.